Molecule: ribosomal RNA, 279 nt
Filed under: uncultured bacterium
Lineage: Bacteria
Description: partial 16S ribosomal RNA
Rfam family: Bacterial small subunit ribosomal RNA
Source: RNAcentral
UGCCAGCCGCCGCGGUAAUACGAAGGGUGCUAGCGUUGUUCGGAAUUACUGGGCGUAAAGAGCAUGUAGGCGGAUGAAUUAGUCAGAGGUGAAAGCCCCGAGCUCAACUUGGGAACUGCCUUUGAUACUGAAGUUCUUGAAUGUAGUUGAGGUAGGCGGAAUGUGUUGUGUAGCGGUGAAAUGCAUAGAUAUGACACAGAACGCCAAUUGCGAGGGCAGCUUACUAAGCUACGAUUGACGCUGAGGCACGAAAGCGUGGGGAGCGAACAGGAUUAGAUA